Molecule: long non-coding RNA, 1845 nt
Organism: Equus caballus (horse)
Lineage: Eukaryota; Metazoa; Chordata; Mammalia; Perissodactyla; Equidae
Source: Ensembl
CUGUCCCUUUUAUCAGGAAAGCACAGUUGCUUCCCAGAACUUCCUCCCCCAGCAGAAUUCCACUCAUGAACGAUUGUGUUUUACAUGACCACUCCCAACUGCAGAAGAGGCUGGGAAAACACUUUCCAAGCUCUGGAGUGGAAGUUGACUAGAAGAGAGGGAUUUGGUAAUGACUGUCGGGUCAGCCAACCAGCAGUGGCCAUCACAUACUUGCCAAGGUCAAGUGUUAGUCUUAUUUGACCCAACCAGCCUAUUUCACACAGGGGCUAACGCCCGUCAGCUGGGAGUUGCUGUUUCUCACAUCUUUGGCCUGGACUAGAGGUGGCCCCAGCCUGCUAAACCUCAUCUCUCACUGAACAUAACACCAUCUCAUACACGCUAACAUUUUUCAUCAGUAUUAGUGUCACCGCAAAGUGCCAUUAAAAUAGAAGUGGUUUCAUACAUUAUUUUAUCUGCAACGUGGCCACUGAGUCAUUCUUUGCUGGAGAGCUGUCUCCUCGGCAUUUAUAAGCCGGGUAACGAAUCUGCAGUAACGAAUCUGCAGCUCGCUGGGUUCGCGUCCUCUGGUGUGCGGCAGAGGGAGUGGAGGAUCCGCGAGCUGUUGGGGCUAAAACAAGUUGCAUCUCUUCUCUCGGGCCUGAGAACAUUAAUUAAGUGCCUGGUUGCAGGGAUGAAAGCUGAGCCUACGGACGCUGAUGGUCAAGAAGCGUAAUUGUGGUGAAGACACCAAGAAGUGUAAUUGUGGCGAAGAUACCUGCCCAGAGACAUGUCCCAAGGGCGACGGGCGUCUUGAAAGACCCUCGAGGAAGUGACAUAUCUUCCGGUGUGGCUGGGCCAUGACUAAUGACUGGAGAGCAGAGGAGGCGACUCAAGAGGAUUCUGGAGAGAACACCAGUGUUGAAAGGACCUUAGAGAUGUAAUGUGAGCUCAUCAUCUUAUAAAUGAGGAAAUUGAGGCCCCGGGAGAAGGGAGCAUCUAACCAGUGAGAGCGUAGUGAAUCUUGUUCCAUCUUCAGCCCAGAAGUCGUGGGAGUCCUGGCUGCUGGCGGUUCCUCUGAUUCCUGCUCUGUCUGCGCAAUCCUCAGAUCCUAAUAGGGAAGUCCAACUCUGGCUUCCCAGGUGGGCUUCUCACUGGCCAUGCCACCUGCUCUGAGAAUCUAGGUAGGCCGUAUUCCUCCCUGUGGGAAACUAUAGUCAGCUCUGUCUUGUCCCCUUGCAACCCAAAUGUUACCAGCCUGGAAACACAAAUUAUGUUAGCACAAGCCGCCACUUGCUUGGCUGACAGCAUUUGCCUCCUUAAAAUAUUUCCCAGUGAUUUCUGGGAUUGCCAAGGCUUGUGUAGGUGCUCCCAGAGCCAGUCCAUCAGCUGCAGUGUCUACAUGGCCUCGUCCCUCCUCUCUUCUGGCUUCCCCCGGAUGGAGUCCACUGCCUGGGAAGCCGCCUCUGAAGCCUCCUGCAUGCCCAUCAUGAGGACAUUGUUGGCUUUCCAUGCCAAAGGAGGUCUCUGUGGAUGCUCUCAAAACUUCCAAUUUCUCAUGGACAGAGCAUUGCUGGGUUAUAUGGUGGCCCAGAGAAGGUCCCCCCUUCACAGCCCCUUGCCCCAUUGUCACUGGGCUCUUGUGAACAGUGUCAUGAGCCCCUCACCCAAAAUAUCCAUCACCCCUUACCCAAAAUAUCACCAGGAUGCUCAUGAGUUAUGGUCCCAUCAGUUCCUGGCCUUUACUUCCCCAACCAUAAGAGCUCAGACUUACUCCAAGAAUAGAUGGGAGGCAGAUGCCAUCCAUUCCUUCCACCCGCCUCUGUUCUCCUAUUUGACUUUGCCCCUCAAUCCGCACUCCUCCCUCCA